GCAACCAUCACAGAUUAGCAAUUCAGUUUCUGCUAUUUUCGGCUUCAAGUUGAGGGGCAAAGUUUUUGCAUUCUUGUUUCCGAGUGCCAGUUGGUGUCCAUGGGCCCAAUGAUUGAUAUAAGGUGAAGGUUCCCCAGUGGAAGAAUUUGCUGCCUUGAUGAUACAUUCUUGCAUUGUUUCAUGUAGUGAUGCUUCAUCAUGCACUGGGAACUGCAUCAAAUUAGACUCUCCGCAAUCUGCUUCAUCAUCAAUAUCACUUUCACUAUUCCAAAAGAAAGAUUCAUAUCCAAUCAGAAUAAUUUCAAGUAAAACAACAAUGUCAGAAAACUAAAUAUUUAUUAAAUAAGUAUUCAAUAUCAAAUAUAUAAGAAAUAAUAAUAGGAGAUAGUACAUCAACCUCAACAACUCAGUUAAUGAAGCACAUUUCACGUGAGCAAAAAAUCUGCAAUUCGCACAAAUAUAAACCCAGUAGAUGGGAUUUAUAUGUUUCUCGCAGAUGCUGCAGUAACAGGGAUAUUCACGAUAUUGUUGGGGAAGAGAGUAGGUCAAGAUGACAGCAUGUUCAUUGUGAAAUUUACUUUGGUAGGUGAUUGGUGCAUUGGCACAACUCUCGUGCAUGUAUCCAGAAACGACAUGUUGUACAAAUAUAGGACAAGUCUGUAGCUGUAGUGUUACAAGCAUGACACAGGAACAAAGCUGGGCUUUGGACUAAGGUUAAUGGGUGAUCAUGACCCUGAUGACACAGGUUACGUUUCUCUAGAGAUUUAAGUUCUGACAUUACACAUUUCAAACAAACAAGAAAUUCGGAACUGGCAGAAGACUCAGAACUAUACAUAAAGUACUGAGAGGCGCUGCCACAAGCAUGACAAGCAUAAAAGUCUUGCUUUCUAUAUGGAAGCGCAACGAGGCUUAGAGGCUGUUUUGGGUUCAUAGGGUGUGUAAAAGUUGAGGGCAACUCUGAACAAGUUUUAUGCAUAUAGAAACCAACACAAACACUCGAUGGACUGCUAUCAAUAACGGAAGUGUUGCACCUAUAAAAUGCAUCUAUGAGUUUGUUGAUUGGCUGUUUGCACCCAACACAUUCUACAUCCUUACCGACAACAGGCUUGACUUCACUUAGUAUCAGCUGAUGCUCAUGAAAAAAAAGUUUCGAUUCUGCCAUCUAUGUUUACAAGAGAGAGAUAGAGAGAGACAGAGGGAGAUGUAUAUCUACUAAAGGCAAAUAUGAAUGAUUCAACACGACCACUGCACUCUGUUCAUAUAUAGAUUAAGAUACAUAAAACAAUCAAGUAGUUAACCCAAUCUUCAAGUUUCAAAAAAGAACGAAUAAUUCAAUGAUAAGUAAGAAUAUGUAUAAGAAUCAAGCAACUGUGCGAACAUUCGUGUUCCAGUGCAUCACCAAACAAAGAAAGAAUCAUAAGCAGUCAUUUAUAAUCAACCUAAAGAAUAAAUGACAAAGAAUUGCAGGUUAGGAGAUUCUGUGGGAGGUAAAGAAGCCAAACAUUCUUUGCUUUUGAGAAUCAAGGAAGUGAUUCCAUUUUGUUUAAGCAAGCUGAGAAGACCCUCUGCUAUGAUUGCUUCAUCAAUCAAAACACCCUCUACUUCAUACAUUUAUAUUCUUUGUGAUACCAUUUCAUCCCAGAAACAUAUAAAGACCAGUAUGAGUGUGAAGUUUCGGACUAUUAAAAAUUUAUAAUUCUCUGUCUCGGACUAUGAAAAAAAUUAUAAUUCUUUGUCUCGAACUAUGAAUUUGGUUCAAAUUUAUAUGUUCUGAAACAACUUUGACAUCAUCAGUAUUCUUAUUCUAUUGAUUUUUAUUUUGGACUUCUAAUGGUGCUACAUGUAUGAUUUUUAAUAUUAGCGGGUCUUUUAAUUCUAUUGAGAUCGGAUCAAUUUUCAAUAUAAUUUCUAUAAAAAUAAAUUUGUAGAUAUAACAAACAUCCCUUAUAUUACAAAACCACCCAUAUUUCUGUUAUAAAUUUUCUUUUAACUAUGUGAGUUUUCCUCAGACCCAUUAAUUACUGAGGAGUUUAGUUGGUUUGAUUAAAACUAAUAAAAACUGAUAUUGAUUGUUCCAUGACAAUUUGUGAUCGUAUUUGUUCAUGACAUAAAUCAAGAACUAAAGUAUGAUAGGUGCAAGAAACUAUAGUGUAGCUUAUUAGUGUGGCCAGAGUCAUGUAAUGAAACAGUUGGAAACGAUUAAAAGAGUGAAAAUCACGAAGGUUAUAAAUUAUUUAGAGAUUUUUUAAAAUGCUAAGACUUGUCAAAAGUGACGAAAUAAUGAAUUUAGAAACAAACUUUUAAAAAUGGUAUAAAUCACAAAUAUUCGAAGUAAUUAUAUGAAACGAAAGACUAUAGAAAAGGUAUUAAUUCAUACCUCAAACUCAGAUUGUCCAAGACUCCAAGCCAAAGAACCCUAGAUCAUAUUAUCCAAGUCAAAGAAUCCCAAAUCACAAUUAUUCAUCCCCACUAAAAGCAAUCCCAACUGAAGCAAACCCUACAGAAAUUCUCACACCGAAACAUAACAACCCUAUAGAAUUGAGCAAAAAAAAUCUCAAAAACAUAAGGGUCAGGUCUCAAACAAACACAAAUCAAAAUCGAAUAGAGUUGCGUGGACUUCCUUAUGUAGCAUCUCCGAAGUGUGGGCCAUUGUUAUCACAAGCAAAAUAUGAUCUCAAAGUAUCAAUUUAUAAUACGGUUUUGGUGCAUUUUCAGAGAUUUUGCGAGUCGAGUUCGAGUUCAAGUUUUUGCUAAACGAGUCGAGUUUGAUCGAUAUGGUAAACGAUCAUUUUUUGUUGAUCGAAUUCGAGUUCGUUAAGAACCGAGUCGAGCUCGAGCUCGAGCUGGUCGCGAACAAUUCGAGUCGAAUCGAGUUCGAGUCGAGCCGUUCGCGAAAAUUUGAUUUUUUUUUCGAAAAAAUUAAUUAAUAUUAAAAAAGUUUUUAAAAUAUUUCCUGAAGAUUCAACCACACAGAUGUUGGGAUAUUUUUAUUUUAAUGAUUUUACAAAAAUAUCACAAAACAAAAAAUAUAUUUGAUGUGAAAUUUUAAUAAUCAACUAGUGAAAUAACUAGUACUUUAUAUAUGUCUGGUCCUGAAUUGAUGUUAUAUUUUUUCUCAAAAAAAUUAUUGACAAUUUAACCGUAAGGAUGUUAAGAUCUAGUUAUUUUAAUGAUAUUAGGAAAAUAUCAAAAAUGAAAAAAAAAUUAUAUUUCAUUAUCCAUAUCUUUUUACACAUUAAAAAUUAAAAAAUCAUAAAUAUUUUGUUUAACGAGUCGAGUCGAGUCGAGUUCGACUUUAACGAGCCGAGUCGAGCUCGAGUCGAACACUAGUACUCGACUCGACUCGAGUUUCUUAACGAUCAAAUUUUUUUGUUCGAAUUCGAACUCAAUAGCGAACCGAGUCGAACCGAGUCGAGCUUUAAACGAGUCGAGCCGAGCUUGUUCGCGAACAGCUCGGUUCGUUUACAGCCCUAUUCAAACUCAUCAAAUUGUGUAUUUAUUAUGUGUCCGUUUUCUUUUCUUUUUUGAAAAUGAGAAUAAAUCUCACAAAUAAGAAUCGGCAAUUCACCAAGAUAAUUCCUUCAUUCAAGAAAGCUUAUUAUCUAACCGUCGGACAUGCAAGAUGACCGGGAAAAUUUAGACAAUAAAACUUUAAUGUCCUAAAAUAAAAACUAGUCUUCUUCCAAGAAUCCUGAAAAUAAAUCAAAGGAAACAAGAAAAAUAUAAGACAAUAUAUAUCAGAUUACAUAAAUUAUAAAAAUAAAAAAUAUAUCCAAUAAUUAAUUAUUAAUAAAAUCACGUGUAUAUGCAUGUGCUGAUCAAAAUAUUUACACAAUUAUGAUAACUCAUAACUGAGACAAUUAAACUCUUAAUUAAGGCACAAUUAAUAAAAUAUUAACGCUCUUAAUUAAGACACAUUAAAGCCCUUUAAAUAAGGCACAAUAAACAUCUUCAAUUAUGAGGUACGGUUUACGUCCUCAAUUAUGAGGCCCAAAUAACGCCCUUAAUUAUGAGGCACAAUUAACGCUUUUCUUUCUGAAGGCGGAUCCCUAGAAUUGCCGUCGCCGCAACCCUCAGUCACCGCCACCACUGCUACGCUAUUUCUCUCGCACACGUCCGCAAAACCAUAAACUCAGAUUAUCAACCGAUUACUCAGCAAGGCACAAAUCAAACAAAAAGUUUAAUUAAAAUCAAACAAAUCAUUAUAAUCAACGACAAUUAAUCAUAAUUUAAUCAAACAAAAAGAAAUUCAUUCAACUGGAAAAUAAAUGAACGAAAAACGCAUACGUUUCAUCUUUGACGACGAGAUUGAGGAGCGUGAGAAGCGCGGACUGAGUGGAUUCGACCGAGUCAAAACGGAGCAAAUCGACGAGCAGUAUCAUUUGAAAAGAAGAAUGAAGAUAUAUAUAUGUGGACGUGGAAUUUGAAUUUCUAACCUCAAAACUGGAAUCUGAUAAAUUGGAUGUGUUGACAAGUGAUUAACAAAGGGUGGUUGUUGAGAGUGAGAUCGUAGAUGAUGAUCCGAUGUUUAUAUUUAAAAGUACAGAUAUACCUGAUUUUUUAACUAGGAACCCACAAAAGAUUCAAUUGUUUGCACAUAUAUGGAUGAAUAUGUUAGCGAGAAAGCUUGGCGUUGGCUGUGGAAUUGUACACGAGAGAGACGGAGAGAAAUUAUUUAUUAUGUGUCCUUGGAGCACAUUAGAUAGACCUUUUAUAAUAUUACGUGGUUAUAAUUUUUUUAAAAAAAUUAUAAACAAUUUUAACCUCCUUUUUUUUUGACAAUGAGGCCUUACUUUGUCUUACAAAUUAGUAGUCAGAGUCGAACUCGGGUGUCCCGGGAUAAUAAGGGAUAAACCAUCAUUGGGCUAUCCAGUCGUGCUCGAUUUUAACCCUUUUUAAAGCCCAUAGAAAAACAAAAAAUGGCUCAGAUCAACAAGUAAUGCCCUGAAUAACAGAUCGAGAAAAAUAACCCAAAUACCGGUUAUUAAUAUCAAUCUAGCGUUUUUAAUUUGGGAGAAAACGCUAGUUAGUGUAACGUUUUACGGUUUUAACCCAAAAAAUAACGCUACAUAAACUAACAUCUUGUUUUUUUUAACCCUAACAGAACGCUAAACGAAUGAAAAUUCAAACGCUACACGAUGCAGUAUUAAUAAAUGAUAUUUAAAGUUAUUUUUUUUAUCAUAAUACGAAUAAUGAAUAUAGUGAUAACACCCCGCAAAAGCCUAGAAUCCUCAUGCUUAUGAGGUAACUUUUAAAGCCUAGACAUGUAUAUCUAAAACGUUAUACGUGUAAUGAUUUAUUCUUACAUUAAAAUAUGACAUUCAGAGUAUUUCAACUCUAAUUUGUGAUAUCUGAAGCCUUUUAUCGUAUCCGAGAAUUUUUACAAUAUACUGUCAAGUCAAUUAUUAAUGAAUAUUUUGACUAGUUUCGGAUACACUCCAAAGAAUUUUAAUACAAUUUAUAAAUUUUAAUACCCUAUAUAUAAUUUAUAGAUUUUAAUGAAUUGUAUCUGAAUUGAAUUUUAUAUGAAUUUUAGAUAUAAUGUCGCAAGAUCUCAUAGAUUAUGGUGGAAUUUCCAAAAGCACAAAAUACACGCAAAAAUUUAUCAUUUUAUUAAGUCCCAAAAAUUAAUCAACAUUUGAAUAACAUCAAAUUAUAAUAUAUUUGAAUAAUCUUAAUUGAACACCAUAUUUUUAGAUAUAAUUAAAAUCAUGUUUAAAUACCACCAGAUUUUAUAUCAUAACUUUAAAUCUUAAUCGACCUCAAAAUAUGGAUACAGUUUUUAAAAUUAUACACCUAUUUUUUAUGAAUUAAAAAAAUCAAAAUUUCAAUUGAAUCCACCCUUUGGGCUUGAGAAAUAUUCGGACGGCAUUAUUGUCAAAAUGACUAUCUAUUCUUCAUUGAUAAACUGAGAUGAAUAUAAUUCGAACAACCUACCAUACUACGGUCAAUACCAUACUACAAUGAGCCUGUGCAUAAGAUAUAUAGCUACAAACCAGAUAAAAUUAAGAAAUAACCCCAAUAACCUUUUAGGAAAAAAAACAUGCUAACGAACUCGUACUAUCUGUGACAUAUUUUGAUUUGUCAACCUUGUUACAAGAUCAGCAUUGUUAAAUUUAAAUUUUUUUUUUGAUAAUUUGAAAAGAAUAUAUACAAGCACAAAGGAUUUGUAAAUUUUCUGAACCUAUACAAUCCAGCAAUACACAAUAUAAUUUUCCCUGAUUUCAUUCUUUAAUGAAACAAUUCCGAUGCACUAUAUAUUUGCAUGGUGAACAUUGGAGAGCCGGCGUAUCGCGUGCAUCUUCCCCACAUAAAUUGCAAUUCCUUGUCUUUUUAUUGAGAAUAUAUGUGAGGCCGUGUGGAUGAGGAUGUUUGUCGCUGUAAAUGUUGGUGGCACCAAACUUGAUAUUGGACAGCCAAUCAUCUGGAUCAAUACAGCUAAUAUGAAAUGAUAGAUCGCAUACAUUGCAGUGAUAAAACCAACUGUUGGUGUUUAUCUCUUUGGAGCAAAAUUCACAAGGGAAUUCGUGGGGAUGAUCGGGUACAUUCUUGAGAGACAGGAUCAAGUAGAGAGGAUGAGGAUCCCACCUAUGUUUCACCACUUGUGCACUUAACACACACCCUAUAUGUGUGUAAAAUUCACAUUUUUCACAUCCGUACACGAUGGUUCUUACCUCUUCAGUUACAGGCUCACGCCAACAACCUUUGCAAAGAAAGUCAUCUGGAGUCUUUAAUUGCUGAAGAGGGUGACGAUGACCUUUAUGUUUGAUUAUUCUGGGUAAUGAAGCGCACUUGAUGUCAAAAGUGUAUUCAUCAUUGAGCAUGCAAAUCCCAUUACCAUAAAUGCCGCAACCACUGCAUUGAAAAGUAUAUAGUUCACCUGACUCUCGUGCUAGCACUGCCUCCAGAUCGCCUGCUAGAUGAUGCUUAAUCCUUUUGGGGAAUUGGGAGCAUGAUCUGUGGAGAAAAAAAUUGCAUAAACUGCAUUCAUAGAAUACAUCAACCAAGGAGAUAGGAUUCAUGCAACCAUCACAGAUUAGCAAUUCAGUUUCUGCUAUUUUCGGCUUCAAGUUGAGGGGCAAAGUUUUUGCAUUCUUGUUUCCGAGUGCCAGUUGGUGUCCAUGGGCCCAAUGAUUGAUAUAAGGUGAAGGUUCCCCAGUGGAAGGAUUUACGGCCUUGAUGAUACAUUGUUGCAUUGUUUCAUGUAGUGAUGCUUCAUCAUGCACUGGGAACUGCAUCAAACUGGACUCUCCGCAAUCUGCUUCAUCAUCAAUAUCACUUUCACU
RNAcentral lists this long non-coding RNA (7286 nucleotides) under Daucus carota (carrot). Its description in RNAcentral is "long non-coding RNA (DCAR_LNC000042)". The record is from RNAcentral. Lineage: Eukaryota; Viridiplantae; Streptophyta; Magnoliopsida; Apiales; Apiaceae.